This 263-nucleotide ribosomal RNA is filed under the name uncultured bacterium. Its description in RNAcentral is "partial 16S ribosomal RNA". It matches the Rfam family "Bacterial small subunit ribosomal RNA", at positions 524 to 786 of the family's 1533-position model. The record is from RNAcentral.
UACGUAGGUGGCGAGCGUUGUCCGGAUUUACUGGGUGUAAAGGGCGUGUAGGCGGGGAUGUAAGUCAGAUGUGAAAUACCGAGGCUUAACUUCGGGGGUGCAUCUGAAACUAUGUUUCUUGAGUACUGGAGAGGGAAGCGGAAUUCCUAGUGUAGCGGUGAAAUGCGUAGAUAUUAGGAGGAACACCAGUGGCGAAGGCGGCUUCCUGGACAGUAACUGACGCUGAGGCGCGAAAGCGUGGGUAGCGAACAGGAUUAGAUACC